Molecule: small nuclear RNA, 239 nt
Filed under: Meriones unguiculatus (Mongolian gerbil)
Lineage: Eukaryota; Metazoa; Chordata; Mammalia; Rodentia; Muridae
Description: 7SK RNA (ENSMUGG00000026841.1)
Rfam family: 7SK RNA
About the family: 7SK was discovered as an abundant small nuclear RNA in the mid-70s but a possible function has only recently been suggested.
Source: RNAcentral
GGACGGGAGGGGGGUCUGACUGCAACACCUGUCACCACAUUGACUGCAGGGUUGAUCUGGCUGGCUGGGCGGGUGCCUCUCCCUCCCUCACCACUCCACGCGCAUCCUUCCCUAAGAGUCAAAGAGGAUGACCAAACAGGAGGACCAGCCUCCAGUCAAGGGCAAUGAGCAGCUGAGCUGCCGACUGGAACCUCCAAACAAGCUUAAAAUGCCAAGCUCAUAACACCUGGUAUACAGUG